RNAcentral lists this unclassified non-coding RNA (392 nucleotides) under soil metagenome. RNAcentral's name for it is "partial contains 5.8S ribosomal RNA, internal transcribed spacer 2, and large subunit ribosomal RNA". The stretch from base 1 to 122 matches the Rfam family "5.8S ribosomal RNA", at positions 35 to 154 of the family's 154-position model. The record is from RNAcentral.
GAUGAAGAACGUAGCGAAAUGCGAUACUUGCUGUGAAUUGCAGAAUCCCGCGAAUCAUCGAGUUUUUGAACGCAAGUUGCGCCCGAAGCCAUCAGGUUGAGGGCACGUCUGCCUGGGCGUCACAUAUCGUUGCUCGAUGCCUAUCGCAUUGCGAUAGGACUUAGGGCGAAUGAUGGCUUCCCGUGAGCGUUGUUGCCUCGCGGUUGGUUGAAAAUCGAGUCCUUGGUAGGGUGUGCCAUGAUAGAUGGUGGUCGAGUUAGAACGAGACCGAUCAUGUGCAUGCUCCCCAAAAUAUGGCCUCUGUGACCCACACGCGUCUUUUGACGCUCAUGACGAGACCUCAGGUCAGGCGGGGCUACCCGCUGAAUUUAAGCAUAUCAAUAAGCGGAGGA